CAGCAGCCGCGGGAAUACGAAGGGGGCUAGCGUUGCUCGGAAUGACUGGGCGUAAAGGGCGCGUAGGCGGCGGCCAAAGUCAGGCGUGAAAUUCCUGGGCUCAACCUGGGGGCUGCGCUUGAUACUUGGUUGCUUGAGUGGGGAAGAGGGUCGUGGAAUUCCCAGUGUAGGGGUGAAAUUCGUAGAUAUUGGGAAGAACACCGGUGGCGAAGGCGGCGACCUGGUCCUUGACUGACGCUGAGGCGCGAAAGCGUGGGGAGCAAACAGGAUUAGAUACCCCCGUAGUCCCUGUCUCUUAUAC
RNAcentral lists this ribosomal RNA (301 nucleotides) under uncultured bacterium. Its description in RNAcentral is "partial 16S ribosomal RNA". It matches the Rfam family "Bacterial small subunit ribosomal RNA", at positions 509 to 807 of the family's 1533-position model. The record is from RNAcentral.